This is a long non-coding RNA of Oncorhynchus keta (chum salmon), 601 nucleotides long. RefSeq lists it as uncharacterized. The transcript is spliced from 5 exons. Lineage: Eukaryota; Metazoa; Chordata; Actinopteri; Salmoniformes; Salmonidae. The record is from RefSeq and is a predicted model, not a curated record.
AUGUAAUGUAUGUCCUUGUCUCCUGAAAUGGUAUGUAUGAGGUCUGUGGUUUUAGUUCUGAAAUGGUAUGUAUGAGAUAAUGAGGUCUGUGGUUUUAGUUCUGAAAUGGUAUGUAUGAGAUAAUGAGGUCUGUGGUUUUAGUUCUGAAAUGGUAUGUAUGAGAUAAUGAGGUCUGUGGUUUUAGUUCUGAAAUGGUAUGUAUGAGAUAAUGAGGUCUGUGGUUUUAGUUCUGAAAUGGUAUGUAUGAGAUAAUGAGGUCUGUGGUUUUAGUUCUGAAAUGGUAUGUAUGAGAUAAUGAGGUCUGUGGUUUUAGUUCUGAAAUGGUAUGUAUGAGAUAAUGAGGUCUGUGGUUUUAGUUCUGAAAUGGUAUGUAUGAGAUAAUGAGGUCUGUGGUUUUAGUUCUGAAAUGGUAUGUAUGAGAUAAUGAGGUCUGUGGUUUUAGUUCUGAAAUGGUAUGUAUGAGAUAAUGAGGUCUGUGGUUUUAGUUCUGAAAUGGUAUGUAUGAGAUAAUGAGGUCUGUGGUUUUAGUUCUGAAAUGGUAUGUAUGAGAUAAUGAGGUCUGUGGUUUUAGUUCCAGUGAAGGACAGUGGAAGGAAGGAAG